GACGAACGCUGGCGGCGUGCUUAACACAUGCAAGUCGAACGGAAAGGCCCUGCUUUUGUGGGGUGCACGAGUGGCGAACGGGUGAGUAACACGUGAGUAACCUGCCCUUGACUUUGUGAUAACUUCAGGAAACUGGGGCUAUUACCGGGUAGAAGCUCCUGCUGCAUGUUGGGGGUUGGAAAGUUUCGGCGGUGGGGGAUGGACUCGCGGCUUAUCGGCUUGUUGGUGGGGUAGUGGCUUACCAAGGGUUUGACGGAUAGCCGGCAUUGGAGGGUGAACGGGGUCAAGGCUACUGAGAGACGGAGCAGUAGGCAAUGGGACGCAGUAGGCGGGAGUAUUGCGCAACGGGCGGAAGUCUGAGGCGGCGGCGUCGCGUGCGGGAUGACGGCCUUCUGGGUGUGAACCGCUGUCGCCUGUGACGAAGCGGGAGUGACGGUAAUGGGUAAAGAAGCACCGGCUAACUACGUG
RNAcentral lists this ribosomal RNA (468 nucleotides) under uncultured bacterium. RNAcentral describes it as "partial 16S ribosomal RNA". It matches the Rfam family "Bacterial small subunit ribosomal RNA", at positions 28 to 507 of the family's 1533-position model. The record is from RNAcentral.